CUACUUACUAAGCUGCUGAUGUCUACAGUAAAUCCGGGUUUGGACCUUUUCCUUUUGGACUGAGAACACUCAAUAGAGAGAGAGAGAGAGAGAAACGUUUCUGUAUCUUAUCGGGUUUUGUGUUGUCAGCAGAAGAAGGCUCUACGACAAAAAAAAUCAAAGGCAAUUAUUUUUAGGGUUCAAACGAAGAAAAAUUUGUAGCUUUCGAGAACUUACUGUGUGUGGUGGCUUUUCUAAGACCGAAGCUUUUUUUCUUCUUCUCUCUCCCAAUUUGUGAGUCUAUCUCUCUCCGUAAGCUCUUUACUUUAUUUGCUCUGUUUCUUUCUUCUUUUACUCUGUUUCUUUACUCAAUUUUUUUGUCUUGAUUUAUACAUUCUUUAGUAGUUGCUUAAAAUCUAAGUUUUCAGCUUUUGAUUUCCUUUAUGCAACUCCCGUGACCAAAAUUUUUACCAUCUUUGAUUAUGUUACCAGAUUCUUUCUACUCAUAGUUUUUGUACAAGUUGAACUCUUCUUGUUUACAUUAACUUUUAUAUAGUUCUCCGAGAGUGACUUUUUUGUUCUCCUUCUGAUCCGUG
RNAcentral lists this long non-coding RNA (575 nucleotides) under Capsella rubella. RNAcentral describes it as "long non-coding RNA (CRUB_LNC004576)". The record is from RNAcentral. Lineage: Eukaryota; Viridiplantae; Streptophyta; Magnoliopsida; Brassicales; Brassicaceae.